This is a long non-coding RNA of Amblyraja radiata (thorny skate), 363 nucleotides long. RefSeq lists it as uncharacterized. Lineage: Eukaryota; Metazoa; Chordata; Chondrichthyes; Rajiformes; Rajidae. The transcript has 3 exons. The record is from RefSeq and is a predicted model, not a curated record.
GAGUCGGCAGCUGAAGACGGGCUCUCGGUGGGUGCCGGAGAGAAGAAGAUGAAGAAGAGGAUCAAGAAGCAAAGAUAGUUACGACAAAUGACCCACUUUCGUCACCCAAGCAAGACGGUUAAAGAGAGUGAGCUGGGCCCUCGGAGCCAGGAAGACAGGUAGAGCCGUCCAAGAGAGGACUUGGCAGCUGAAGACGGGCCCAUGGUGGGUUCCAGAGGUUGGAUGAAGACGGGCCCUCGGUGGGUGCAGGAGGACGGAGAGAGGAUGAAGAUAAGCAUCUGCCAAUGGUAGUUAUGACAAAUGCAGAACAGGAUCACUGAAAGCCAAGGGAUCUCUGGAAAAGAAGCCUAUCCUUGUCACAGG